RNAcentral lists this transfer RNA (69 nucleotides) under Sinacroneuria dabieshana. RNAcentral's name for it is "tRNA-His". Lineage: Eukaryota; Metazoa; Arthropoda; Insecta; Plecoptera; Perlidae. The record is from RNAcentral.
ACUUAGGUAGUUUAAGUAGAAAAAAUCUUGAUUUGUGGUGUCAGUGAUGUGGAAUUUUCACCCUAGGUC